GAGCCUCUGCCUUCUGGUUUACUUGGAACAAGACGGAAGAGAGUCACUCUUACCGUCGUGCAUACCUUAAGCGGGUCUGCCGCCUUCGUUUCUCUUUCUUCGCGAAUGACUUUGACUUGCGCUCGCGCGCCGCAUCGCACCCUUUGGGUGCUGGCGCUCCGCGAGGGCGCGGCACAAGCCGCGACGGCCGGUUGGCCUUGCGAGACUUGCGUCUCGUUGGCGAAAGCCGAUUUACGGCGCAGUCUUAGGGCUUGUAGCUCAGUUGGUUAGAGCGCGCGCUUGAUAAGCGUGAGGUCGGAGGUUCAAGUCCUCCCAGGCCCACCACUUCGCAAUCCGCAAGGAUUGUCGAUCUCCUCGACAAGUCGCCCUAAGACAGGGGUAACUUCGAAGAGGUGUUAUCAAGGGGCCGUAGCUCAGCUGGGAGAGCGCCUGCUUUGCAAGCAGGAUGUCGUCGGUUCGAUCCCGUCCGGCUCCACCAUCUCCGCGCAAUCCGCAGGAUUGUCGCUGCGCAAUCCGCGGGAUUGUCGCUGCCUCGUUCUAAAAAGAAAGAGGGGUGUCGAGUAGAGAUGGAAGCCGGUUGGCAAGUCAUUCGUUCAAAGAGUUUGCGGCGAGCUUCUUGGCUCUCCGCCUGUUCUGUAUGACAUCGUAAAGAGAAGAUUUGUUCGAACUUCAUAUCCUGAAAAGGGUGUGAUUUGUCGCGGGAGACGCUCAAUCUCCCGCAUAUGAUGGGUUUGCCUAACCGCACCCUCGAACCGAUCUCGAGAAGCUGGUCUUUUUGUGCCAAUGCCAUCAAGCCGAAUUCUGCACAGGAUUUGGCUGAAGCGACGAUCCCUUCGGGAUCGCGCAGGCGACGAUCCCUUUGGGAUCGCGUGGUGGGUAUUGGCAAUGAGAACGAUCAAGUGUCUUAAGGGCAAUUGGUGGAUGCCUUGGCAUGCACAGGCGAUGAAGGACGUGAUACGCUGCGAUAAGCUACGGGGAGGUGCGAAUACCCUUUGAUCCGUAGAUUUCCGAAUGGGGAAACCCACCUAAGGUGCUUGGAAAAUCAGAGCAGCCAGUGGUCGAAAGGCCGACUUGCUGCUGUGGUUUCCAAGGAUCUGUUAUAGGUAACUUAUCCUGAAUCCAUAGGGAUAAAGUGGCGAACGCGGGGAACUGAAACAUCUAAGUACC
Molecule: unclassified non-coding RNA, 1167 nt
Filed under: Mesorhizobium sp. K13a
Lineage: Bacteria; Pseudomonadati; Pseudomonadota; Alphaproteobacteria; Hyphomicrobiales; Phyllobacteriaceae
Description: contains 16S-23S intergenic spacer region
Rfam family: Bacterial large subunit ribosomal RNA (bases 894-1167)
Source: RNAcentral